This 169-nucleotide ribosomal RNA is filed under the name uncultured bacterium. Its description in RNAcentral is "partial 16S ribosomal RNA". It matches the Rfam family "Bacterial small subunit ribosomal RNA", at positions 338 to 524 of the family's 1533-position model. The record is from RNAcentral.
CCUACGGGAGGCAGCAGUGGGGAAUAUUGCACAAUGGAGGAAACUCUGAUGCAGCGACGCCGCGUGAGGGAAGAAGGUCUUCGGAUUGUAAACCUCUGUCUUCAGGGACGAUAAUGACGGUACCUGAGGAGGAAGCACCGGCUAACUACGUGCCAGCAGCCGCGGUAAU